Molecule: unclassified non-coding RNA, 462 nt
Filed under: Athalia rosae (coleseed sawfly)
Lineage: Eukaryota; Metazoa; Arthropoda; Insecta; Hymenoptera; Athaliidae
Description: misc RNA ENSAEAG00005002873.1
Source: RNAcentral
GUGGUCUUAUCCUCCACGGGGUUUUGAGCUCGAACAACUUCGGUCACAAGGUGUCCAAAAAUCACAAAAACCCAACACCAAUAUCCAGACAUUGUCCCCGUUGUAACAUACACUUUCCUUCGGCGUAAUUGACGCGGUAAAACGGAUUGCACUAGUGCAUUAUAUUCCAAAAACUUGGGCAGCUCACUUCCGACGUGUCGUAGACCGCAAAAUGAUCGAACGGUAUCAACGGCGGUAUUAUCAGGUGAACGGCGAAUCCAGUUAUGUAUUCCUUUGGCACGUCGCUCUUCGAGGUUCGCUAUAUACUCCACUGCACUCAUAGGGUGUUAAAAUUCAGUGUGUGCUGCGAUGCUAUUUUUACUUGAUACGUCGAUCACUACUCGUGGGGUGGAUGAACGGCGGGUUUUCGCUCGUCACAAUUAUUUAUAAAAAACAGAAAAAAAACGUUAACAACAAAUUGCG